CGAAUGCUGACAUAAGUAACGAUAAAGCGGGUGAAAAGCCCGCUCGCCGGAAGACCAAGGGUUCCUGUCCAACGUUAAUCGGGGCAGGGUGAGUCGACCCCUAAGGCGAGGCCGAAAGGCGUAGUCGAUGGGAAACAGGUUAAUAUUCCUGUACUUGGUGUUACUGCGAAGGGGGGACGGAGAAGGCUAUGUUGGCCGGGCGACGGUUGUCCCGGUUUAAGCGUGUAGGCUGGUUUUCCAGGCAAAUCCGGAAAAUCAAGGCUGAGGCGUGAUGACGAGGCACUACGGUGCUGAAGCAACAAAUGCCCUGCUUCCAGGAAAAGCCUCUAAGCAUCAGGUAACAUCAAAUCGUACCCCAAACCGACACAGGUGGUCAGGUAGAGAAUACCAAGGCGCUUGAGAGAACUCGGGUGAAGGAACUAGGCAAAAUGGUGCCGUAACUUCGGGAGAAGGCACGCUGAUAUGUAGGUGAAGUCCCUCGCGGAUGGAGCUGAAAUCAGUCGAAGAUA
Molecule: ribosomal RNA, 509 nt
Filed under: Escherichia coli
Lineage: Bacteria; Pseudomonadati; Pseudomonadota; Gammaproteobacteria; Enterobacterales; Enterobacteriaceae
Description: partial 23S ribosomal RNA
Rfam family: Bacterial large subunit ribosomal RNA
Source: RNAcentral